CAGGCCUCCCCUCUCUGCCCACCCCCCAGUGCCCCGGCACCACAGCCCCUCCCUGGGUCAACCGCGGUCCCCGAUGGGGUCCCCGCCCUCUGCAGACCCCACCUGCCCCGGCCUGCUUUCCUCGGUGGCUCCCGGGUACCCAAUGAGCUUUUAAAGCCCCCUGCCCAGGACUUGGGCUGCUGGACACGUCCCCGGCCCCAGAGCCCCUCUUGGCCGCUUUCUUCACCUUGCCCUCGGAGGGCGGGGGUCCUGGCUCUGACGCGGGGGUCUCCCUCUCGCGUCUGUACUGCUCUAGGAGCUGGGCGAAGUCCUCCUCCUGGGGCUGCAUCCCCUUGGCGGCGGCGGCCCCAGCCCCCUUCCUCUUCUUGCCCUCCGGCUGCGGGCCCCCCCCUCGGUCGCUCCGGUUCCAGGGCCGGGCUUCACCCCGUUCUGGACUGCGGGGGGCCGGCCCCGGGCUCGCCGCCUCGGGAUCUGGCCCAGGGGCCUGGCCACUGUCUUGGCUGGAAGCGGACCCGGGGGAGGGCGAAGCGGGGGCUUUGGGGGCCAUGCUGGAAAGCAUGGGGUUGGGUGGCUUGCAAAACAGGUCCCCAAAGUCCCAGCGGGGGGAGCCCCCGGAAGGCAGGCGGUCGGCGGCCCUGGGGCCAUCGGGGCUGGCGGGCUUGCGGGCCGGGUCCUCCAAGGAGUCGUGUUUCGGGGGGGUGGGGUCCCGGGGGGCGUGGAGGCCGGGUCCAAGGGGCGCCGAUCCUGAGUCAAGCUGGGGCCCAGCAUGGGAUUCGGGGGCUUGGAGAAGAGCUCUUCAAAGGGCACCAGGCCGGCGGGGCACAGCGUGGAAGACAUGCUGCAGGCGGCUCCUGGGAGCGGCCCCCGGGGGGCCCUGGGAUGCUGCAGGCAGAGGCGGCCCUGAGAACGGGCAAGAGGCUGGGAGGGGGGCUCCGGGAGCUCCCUCCACUGACCCCCCCCACACACGCCGGGGAGGGCAGGGACCGUCACCGGCACAGGGUCUGGGCCCACAAGAGGGCGCCCACGGGGUUGGGGCAAGGGGCAUUUGUGCGUUUGGGGUUUAGGGCCUCCUGCCCCGCCCCCCAACAUCCAAGGCCCGGGACCAUUCCCGAAAGCCCCCCUGAGCCGCCUCAUCCCCGCCCCCAACCGCAGGCCCCGCACCUGUCUGCUGGCCCCGCCCCGAGGCCCUUCUCCCAAACUCCGCCUCGUGAGCCCCCCGGGAGGGUGGUCCGCGCCAUGGAGGGGCAGCUCCCGGGCUCCAGAAGGAAGGGCAGAAGUGCGGGCCUGCGGACAGAGGGAGAGCGGCCCGUGGCGCGCGAGCCCGGGCUCCCACCCGGCCCCGCUCCUUGCGCGCCGCGGGC
RNAcentral lists this long non-coding RNA (1361 nucleotides) under Sarcophilus harrisii (Tasmanian devil). RNAcentral describes it as "lncRNA (ENSSHAG00000032247.1)". Lineage: Eukaryota; Metazoa; Chordata; Mammalia; Dasyuromorphia; Dasyuridae. The record is from RNAcentral.